GAUGAAGAACGUAGCGAAAUGCGAUAAGUAAUGUGAAUUGCAGAAUUCAGUGAGUCAUCGAAUCUUUGAACGCACAUUGCGCCCUGUGGUAUUCCGCAGGGCAUGCCUGUUCGAGCGUCAUUUCAACCCUCAAGCCCCGCUUGGUGUUGGGCCCCGCCCGCUGUGGCCGGCCCUAAAGACAGUGGCGGCGCCGCCUGGCCCUCAGCGUAGUACAUCUCUCGCUCCAGGGUCCGGUGGCCGCCUGCCAGAACCCCCCAACUCUGUGGUUGACCUCGGAUCAGGUAGGGAUACCCGCUGAACUUAAGCAUAUCAAUAAGCGGAGGA
RNAcentral lists this unclassified non-coding RNA (324 nucleotides) under soil metagenome. RNAcentral's name for it is "partial contains 5.8S ribosomal RNA, internal transcribed spacer 2, and large subunit ribosomal RNA". The stretch from base 1 to 120 matches the Rfam family "5.8S ribosomal RNA", at positions 35 to 154 of the family's 154-position model. The record is from RNAcentral.